Oncorhynchus kisutch (coho salmon) is the source of this 1734-nucleotide long non-coding RNA. NCBI's taxonomy places the organism in Eukaryota, Metazoa, Chordata, Actinopteri, Salmoniformes, Salmonidae. The record is from Ensembl.
GUGACAAGGCACAGGUUGAGUCAAAGGAGUUUAUCGGAGUUUGGUGGGAAGAGGAUCACUGAUCGAGACAACAGCACAGCAGCAUAUGUUUUCAUGUCUCCUCUCAACACACCUGUAAAGGUUUCCACUUCCUGUGACACCAUCACACCAUGCCUGAGGGGGCGGGCCGAGGCAGCCAGAGAAAGCCCAGCAACCAAGGUCAGAGGUCAACACUGACACUGUCACACCUGUGACGUUAUUGUUGUGUGACGUCAGAGUAUUCUAUUCAACCUCAGAUGUUUUAAUAUACUCUAUGUCAAUGUAUGCAAAAUAUUAAUGUACCUACUGUAAAUUCAUAUUUACAAUGUCUUUAUCUUGUUUGGUUAUAUAGUUAAAGAUGCACCCCGGGAUCUUAAGCACAAUACAUUUGUAACGAGUUGCACAAAUUGGAUUCGUAAAACAUAUCACACAAAAUGGAUGACGUCGUACACAAUUGGAUGACGUCGUACACAAUUGGAUGACGUCGUACACCAUUGGAUGACGUCGUACACAAUUGGAUGACGUCGUACACUAAAAAACGGGGACCCGUUUUGGCUCUUGAGCACCACUUUCAAAACUACUGGCUGAAACUAUACAAACGUUUGAGAGUGCAUCUUUAAUGAUAAAGGAAGAGCUCAGUAAUGAGCUCGCAUUAUGAAGAGCCACUAAGGUGCAUUUCUGGUGUAACAUUGGAGUUCUUGGGAUAGAAUUAGAGUGCAUGUUCUGUUUCCUGUAUGUUCCGUGGCCGCUCGCAAAGUAUAAUGUUGAACAAUGUUUAGGGGUAAAAAGAGAAAAAAUCUCUCUAUUCAGAUUAUACAGAAGAAAAUAGGCUACAGAGCACGCCCAAGAUAAGGGUGUCCAGUUAGCAUAAGAAUGACAACAUGUCCAAAUUGUCAAAUUGACAAGACGGAAGUGGUGAGACUAUGGGAGGGCACUGCACGUGACUAUAUUUAGGCCUUAGUCUGCCCCUCUCCCACACCCCAAGUUUUCCCAACAAAGAGAGUGCUUAUAUUAACGGAGUCGAUCGUGACUGAAAAUGUUGUGCAAAUGCACAUACAAUGUGAAUUGUUUAAGGGUGUUCACUUCUCAUUGGAAAGUCCUCUGUAAACAUAGGGAAGUCGGAAGGCCUUAGAGUGGCCUAGCUUUGGCUCAGCGUUGUGAAGGUUCACAAGAUCCGAUUUAUGGGAUUUAUUGUACUGCAUUGCAGGGUCAUUUAUUCCAACAUAGAAAAUACUGUUUCGCAUAAUGAAAAGUAUGUUGCACUGCUUUUAUAGGUAUUUUAAUGGAUUUGUUUUUUCACCCUUUAUUUAACCAGGAAAGCCCUUUAGUCGUUCCGGUGUCCGCUAUAGUUUCACUCACUUCACGGGGUCUCCUUAUAUUAUGUAUUCUUUCAGGUUACUAGUACAGUCUCCUAACUCAUUUGUACCGUCUAAGGCAUUAUCUUUCACUGACUGCCUGUCCCUCAGGUGUAUUUAGCUCAAGUGAGAAUGUUUGCUUUGCAGAAUGCCCAGUGAGUUUCAUCUAGAUUAACACCCAGAAACACAGCGUGCUUGUUCGUCGUACUCACGGAGCCCAGUGGAGGCCCACCAGGCAGCCCACUGUACUUUAUGUCAAACACAUCUCACAGAGACUCAGCCAGAGGAAAAGAGAGCUACUUUGUUGCCCUUUGAGCACUAGGUCAGUGUGACUUUGCCAGUUUGUGGUUAGUCGGACUCC